UGGCCACCAGCAUCUCGGAGGACUUGCACUGUCAGUGCACUGAUGCGUAAGGCAACGUGCGCAGGCUGCUGGCUGGCUCGCUCUCUUCCGGGAAGAGACGCCGAGGUGCUGUGUUACCAACCCAUAGGAAGGGAAAUCUCACACUGGGACGGGGAGACGGAAUGAGCCCAGAUAUGUCCCAUCCCGCCGAAGUCAUCUCUUUCCCAAGCGGAAAAGUCCCAAGUCUCCUGAUGUGAAGCGCAGAGCUCUCUUUGUUUGAAACCAGGAGGCAUAGAGGCGCGCUGAUAAAACCACAGAGGUCAUGAUUUUAUAGAUCAGUCCCAUGCCCCCCGAAGUUGUCUCUUUCCCCAGCUGAAAAGUCCCAAGUCUCCUGACGUGAAGUGCAGUGCUCUCUUUAUUUGAAACCAGGAGGCACAGGGGCGCGCCGAUAAAACUGAACAACACAAACCCAAUCGAUCCGACUUUUUGGAGGCAGAAAACUAAAGUCUUGGGCUUGUCUCCUCCCAGCGAGGUGACCGCCUCGCUCCUUGUCAGCAGGCUGUGCUGCAAAUGGGUUCCCUUUGUAUUUGGGAUUGUGUCUGCCUUGCCUUUCACUUUUGUUCUUUUUAUUGUUCCUUUGUCUUCCUGCCCUUGUUUGAACAAUGGUGACCCCCGUGGAACCAAUAAUAACACGUUUCAGAUCCCUCAUUAAAA
This is a non-coding RNA of Pelodiscus sinensis (Chinese soft-shelled turtle), 693 nucleotides long. NCBI's taxonomy places the organism in Eukaryota, Metazoa, Chordata, Testudines, Trionychidae. The record is from RefSeq and is a predicted model, not a curated record.